This 253-nucleotide ribosomal RNA is filed under the name uncultured bacterium. RNAcentral's name for it is "partial 16S ribosomal RNA". It matches the Rfam family "Bacterial small subunit ribosomal RNA", at positions 524 to 776 of the family's 1533-position model. The record is from RNAcentral.
UACGUAGGUGGCAAGCGUUGUCCGGAAUUACUGGGUGUAAAGGGAGCGCAGGCGGGAAGCCAAGUCAGCUGUGAAAACUACGGGCUUAACUUGUAGACUGCAGUUGAAACUGGUUUUCUUGAGUGAAGUAGAGGUUGGCGGAAUUCCGAGUGUAGCGGUGAAAUGCGUAGAUAUUCGGAGGAACACCGGUGGCGAAGGCGGCCAACUGGGCUCUAACUGACGCUGAGGCUCGAAAGUGUGGGGAGCAAACAGG